GACGAACGCUGGCGGCGUGCUUAACACAUGCAAGUCGAACGGAAAGGCCCCAGCUUGCUGGAGUACUCGAGUGGCGAACGGGUGAGUAACACGUGGGUAAUCUGCCCUGCACUCUGGGAUAAGCCUGGGAAACUGGGUCUAAUACUGGAUAUGACCUUUCUCCUUAUGGGGUUUGGUGGAAAGUUUUUCGGUGUAGGAUGAGCCCGCGGCCUAUCAGCUUGUUGGUGGGGUGAUGGCCUACCAAGGCGACGACGGGUAGCCGGCCUGAGAGGGUGAUCGGCCACAUUGGGACUGAGAUACGGCCCAGACUCCUACGGGAGGCAGCAGUGGGGAAUAUUGCACAAUGGGCGGAAGCCUGAUGCAGCGACGCCGCGUGAGGGAUGUCGGCCUUCGGGUUGUAAACCUCUUUCAGCAGGGACGAAGCGUAAGUGACGGUACCUGCAGAAGAAGCACCGGCUAACUAUGUG
This 467-nucleotide ribosomal RNA is filed under the name uncultured bacterium. Its description in RNAcentral is "partial 16S ribosomal RNA". It matches the Rfam family "Bacterial small subunit ribosomal RNA", at positions 28 to 507 of the family's 1533-position model. The record is from RNAcentral.